This 1177-nucleotide unclassified non-coding RNA is filed under the name Hevea brasiliensis (rubber tree). The record is from RNAcentral. Lineage: Eukaryota; Viridiplantae; Streptophyta; Magnoliopsida; Malpighiales; Euphorbiaceae.
AAUCCAUUUGACAACUUUAUCAUCCUUUUAGCGCAAUUCCCUUUCCCCCUAAAUUCUCCACUAAAAUGGGUGGUUCUUGGUUUCUUAGAUGGGUUUUGCUUCUAGGCCUAUUGGGAACUUGUGUUUACGGUCUGGGGAUUAAUUGGGGAACCCAGGCUACUCACAAAUUACCACCAAAGACAGUGGUGCAAAUGUUAAAGGACAAUGGGAUCCAAAAAGUGAAGCUUUUUGAUGCAGACCGAAACACCAUGAGUGCACUUGCUGGAAGUGGUAUUGAAGUCAUGGUGGCUAUACCCAAUGACCAACUGGCUGCCAUGAAUGAUUACAAUCGUGCCAAGGAUUGGGUCAAGAGGAAUGUCUCAAUCUACAACUUCAAUGGAGGGGUUAACAUCAAGUAUGUUGCAGUUGGUAAUGAGCCUUUCCUCACAUCCUACAAUGGGUCAUUCAUAAACUUGACCUUCCCAGCACUUCAAAACAUUCAAAAUGCCCUCAAUGAAGCUGGGUUGGGAGACUCUAUAAAGGCCACUGUACCCCUGAAUGCUGAUGUCUACAACUCACCCGAUGACCAGCCUUAUCCAUCCGCUGGAAGAUUCCGCAGUGAUAUCAGUGACCUCAUGAGCCAGAUCAUUCAGCUUCUGAAUAAGAAUAAUGCACCUUUCACAGUGAACAUUUACCCUUUCCUAAGUCUCUAUGGAAAUGAUAACUUCCCUAUUAACUACGCUUUCUUUGAUGGAGCAUCACAACCCAUUGUAGACAAAAGCACUGGGAUUCAGUACACCAAUGUUUUUGAUGCUAACUUCGACACCUUGGUCACAGCCCUCAAAACAGUAGGAUUUGGAGAGAUGACCAUCAUAGUUGGGGAGGUAGGUUGGCCCACUGAUGGGGACAAGAGUGCAACUAUAAACUAUGCUUACAGAUUUUACAAUGGGCUGUUACAGCGACUUGCAAGCAGUAGAGGCACCCCGCUUCGACCUGGAUACAUAGAAGUUUACUUGUUUGGUCUUCUUGAUGAAGAUGCAAAAAGCAUAGCUCCUGGAAAUUUUGAGCGCCAUUGGGGAAUCUUUCGGUACGAUGGCCAGCCUAAAUUUGCAUUAGAUUUUACUGGUCAGGGUCAGAACAAGUUUCCUGUGAGUGCACAGAAUGUGCAAUAUCAACCAUCAAAAUGGUGUAUGUUUAA